GAGUAAAAGUCGUAACAAGGUUUCCGUAGGUGAACCUGCGGAAGGAUCAUUACUGAGUGAGGGCCCUUUGGGUCCAACCUCCCACCCGUGUUUAUUUACCUUGUUGCUUCGGCGGGCCCGCCUUAACUGGCCGCCGGGGGGCUUACGCCCCCGGGCCCGCGCCCGCCGAAGACACCCUCGAACUCUGUCUGAAGAUUGUAGUCUGAGUAAAAAUAUAAAUUAUUUAAAACUUUCAACAACGGAUCUCUUGGUUCCG
RNAcentral lists this unclassified non-coding RNA (256 nucleotides) under plant metagenome. RNAcentral describes it as "partial contains small subunit ribosomal RNA, internal transcribed spacer 1, and 5.8S ribosomal RNA". The stretch from base 1 to 52 matches the Rfam family "Eukaryotic small subunit ribosomal RNA", at positions 1780 to 1831 of the family's 1831-position model. The record is from RNAcentral.